GAGUAAUAUAUAGGUAACGUGCCCUAGAGAGGGGGAUAACAUUUGGAAACGAAUGCUAAUACCCCAUAUGCCUUUAAGUCUUAAGACUGCAAGGGAAAUAUUUAUAGCUCUAGGAUCGGCCUGUACGGUAUCAGUUUGUUGGUGAGGUAAUGGCUCACCAAGACUAUGACGCCUAACUGGUUUGAGAGGAUGAUCAGUCACACUGGAACUGAGACACGGUCCAG
This 224-nucleotide ribosomal RNA is filed under the name uncultured bacterium. RNAcentral describes it as "partial 16S ribosomal RNA". It matches the Rfam family "Bacterial small subunit ribosomal RNA", at positions 108 to 334 of the family's 1533-position model. The record is from RNAcentral.